UCCUCUUCUCUCCUCUUCCCAUUACAUUUCUCCACCUUCUCCCUGGUACCACCACCGCCCCCCACUCCACAUUCGUCCUCCGCCCCCAUUCCCCUAUCCUCCAGUAAAAUUACAAAAAACCCUAACACCAAAAAAACCCAAACCCCUGUCGCAAUGAAAUCUCCACCCCCAAAUAGCUCUUUGGAAUAGAAUCAAGGAACUUACCAAAUCCAUUAUAUGCUAUUGGGGUUUUGGCAUGUUUCCGGUGUGAAAGAAGGAAAAAGAAAUGCGUAUGCGAUGGUGAUGUACGUAGGUACGCCGAAGGACUACGAAUUCUACAUAGCCAUACUCGUGCUUCUCAAAUCGCUGGCUACGCUCGACGUUGAAAUUGAUCUUGCUGUGAUUGCUUCCCUUGAUGUUCCUCCUCGAUGGAUUCGAGCUCUGUGUCAAUCGGUACUACUACAUGUGUUUGAAUGACCUACUUGCACUUGGCGGUGGGGCUGCUUGGUUAACGUUGCACAAGCUCAAUCUGCAAACACCACCACUGAUCCUUCCGAAGGU
Glycine soja is the source of this 540-nucleotide long non-coding RNA. RefSeq lists it as uncharacterized. The transcript is spliced from 3 exons. Lineage: Eukaryota; Viridiplantae; Streptophyta; Magnoliopsida; Fabales; Fabaceae. The record is from RefSeq and is a predicted model, not a curated record.